Helianthus annuus (common sunflower) is the source of this 1269-nucleotide long non-coding RNA. RefSeq lists it as uncharacterized. The record is from RefSeq and is a predicted model, not a curated record. The transcript has 2 exons. Lineage: Eukaryota; Viridiplantae; Streptophyta; Magnoliopsida; Asterales; Asteraceae.
AUAAGAGAUAAUGAACGGACCGUCACGCGUCUAACUUAGGAUAUGUGGGUAGGCCCAGCGAGUUGAAAGGUUUCUUAGGAUCGUUAUAAUAUACCUUAAAUUAGGAAUCUUGUGGGUUCUCGCCUUAGAAGCUGUGAUAAAACUGAAACUGUGGAAAGUAUAAGAGGUACGUCAUAAGUAAAAAGCUUAUAAGUUUUUUCGAUUAAAUUGGCACACCCGUUUCUUUUUGUGAAAACAAAUCCGAAACAGUGUGGCGCCAAAAAAAAAAAACAUUUCAUCCAUUCACUUGAGCACAUGUGAAAAAAAAAAAAGAAAAACAAAGCCUAUGGUAUUGCCGCGGGGAUAGCGACUCAUGCGGUACAUACCCUCUAGGUGGAGUUAUAAAAAAUAUGAAGUUUAUGGCAUUAACCAUGGGGAUGGUGACUCUUGUGGCGUAUGUCCGCUAAACUGAUUAUAAGCAAAAGCAUGUAAAGCUCGCAAUAUCAUCCAUCUAUCCAUCAUAAAUUUAAUCGGAAUAGCAUAAGAGUUUUUUAUAUAAGACGGUAGAUUAAAAUCUUUUAAUCUUAUAAGCUUGAAACGGGAUUAGGUGGCGUUGUAGUCUUUUAAGUGUGAGAUCCUAGAUAACUAUAAAUUACUUGAACUUAUAUCAAUCGUGAAUAAGGGCUCAGAAGCUGGCGGUUGGGUUUAAGUGGAUUUUAUACCUGCAAUCCUAGUUAACGUGUGUUUUGAUUGGUUUAUAAGAUAACUAAAUAAAUUGAAAGCCGAUUUUCUGAUUAUGAUUCCAUUGCAUAUAAUUUUUUCGGGACGAAAAAAGAUAAGUGUGGGCAUUUGAUCGUUGAAUUUUAGGUAAUUUUAGAGAAUGAUGGUGAUUGCAUUUAAAGUGUCAAUUGGAUUUAUGUGGGCAAAAUGAAUAAAUGGAUGGUGAGCUUGAGCCGUUAAUUAGAAGAUACAAUACUCGCCCACUAAAGCACUUAAAAGAAAUAUGGGUUGAUCUCUUGGGCCAUGACUGACGCGUGAAAGAACAAAAAGGUAUAAGGGGUCGCAACUUUGAGAAAAGGGGAGGCAGACGGCUGAAGGCAAGGCAGGAGGGACGCACGGAAGGCAGCCGCCUUUUGGCGGCUGUGCACAGUUCAAGGCAUGAGCAACUAGGUGAAUUUCUCUAAGCGUACGGUUCGUAGGGUUUGACACUUUUCUUAGUUUUAUUCGUUAUUGGAUUUGUUUUUGACAUUGACAACGUCGUAUGAAAAAAUUUAUGAGUUGGUUUAUUUA